This 48-nucleotide non-coding RNA is filed under the name Pseudomonas fulva. RNAcentral describes it as "Guanidine-II sequence". It matches the Rfam family "Guanidine-II riboswitch aptamer (mini-ykkC)". From Rfam's summary of the family: Simpler in structure and has fewer highly conserved nucleotide positions than the ykkC-yxkD leader. Despite this each of its two stem-loop structures directly bind free guanidine. The record is from RNAcentral. Lineage: Bacteria; Pseudomonadati; Pseudomonadota; Gammaproteobacteria; Pseudomonadales; Pseudomonadaceae. RNAcentral also lists the same sequence under 1 other name.
AACCACGGACGGCCGUGGUGCUGACCCAAUACCGGCGGGACGGCCCGC